UGCCUUUUGUGUUACCAGAUCAUUUUCUGAAGUGAUGAAUGUGGGGUCAAAUAAGGCAUACAGUAAACUCCCUGCUGCUUAUGGUGCCUUGAGGUUCUUACCCCCUGGGCACUGUGUGAUGUGGAAACUGUU
This is a small nucleolar RNA of Hyla sarda, 132 nucleotides long. RefSeq annotates it as small nucleolar RNA SNORA13. The transcript has a single exon. The record is from RefSeq and is a predicted model, not a curated record. Lineage: Eukaryota; Metazoa; Chordata; Amphibia; Anura; Hylidae.